GCCUGGCCCUAAAUCUCGAUGCUUAUCGCUACCUAAGCAUCCGCCCGAGAACUACGAGCACAAACGCUUGAAACUCUAAGGACUUGGCGGUGCUCCAAACCCACCUAGAGGAGCCUGUUCUGUAAUCGAUGAUCCACGAUAUACCUAACCAUUCCUCGCAGUAUCAGCCUAUAUACCGCCGUCGCCAGCCCACCCCCCCUGAAGGCCAAACAGUGAGCGCAAUAGCCCAAUACCGCUAAUAAGACAGGUCAAGGUAUAGCCUAUGGAAUGGAAGUAAUGGGCUACAUUUUCUAGAUUAGAACAUUACGGCAAAAGGGCGUGAAAUCGCCCUUAGAAGGCGGAUUUAGCAGUAAAGCGGGAUAAUCAAGCCCUCUUUAAGCCGGCUCUGGAGCACGU
RNAcentral lists this ribosomal RNA (396 nucleotides) under Schetba rufa. RNAcentral's name for it is "partial 12S ribosomal RNA". It matches the Rfam family "Bacterial small subunit ribosomal RNA", at positions 794 to 1384 of the family's 1533-position model. The record is from RNAcentral. Lineage: Eukaryota; Metazoa; Chordata; Aves; Passeriformes; Vangidae.